AGUAGACGCUGACUACUUUAGCUUGCUAGAGUAGAAGGAGUUGCGAACGGGUGAGUAACGCGUAGGUAACCUGCCUACUAGCGGGGGAUAACUAUUGGAAACGAUAGCUAAUACCGCAUAACAGUGUUUAACACAUGUUAGAUGCUUGAAAGAUGCAAUUGCAUCACUAGUAGAUGGACCUGCGUUGUAUUAGCUAGUUGGUGGGGUAACGGCCCACCAAGGCGACGAUACAUAGCCGACCUGAGAGGGUGAUCGGCCACACUGGGACUGAGACACGGCCCAGACUCCUACGGGAGGCAGCAGUAGGGAAUCUUCGGCAAUGGGGGCAACCCUGACCGAGCAACGCCGCGUGAGUGAAGAAGGUUUUCGGAUCGUAAAGCUCUGUUGUAAGAGAAGAACGUGUGUGAGAGUGGAAAGUUCACACAGUGACGGUAACUUACCAGAAAGGGACGGCUAACUACGUGCCAGCAGCCGCGGUAAUACGUAGGUCCCGAGCGUUGUCCGGAUUUAUUGGGCGUAAAGCGAGCGCAGGCGGUUUAAUAAGUCUGA
Molecule: ribosomal RNA, 549 nt
Filed under: uncultured bacterium
Lineage: Bacteria
Description: bacterial SSU rRNA
Rfam family: Bacterial small subunit ribosomal RNA
Source: RNAcentral